CGGGUGGGUAUCUUGGUAGGCAUGAAAGCUGCCUUACAAGCAGGAUGUCACUGGUUCGAGUCCAGUACCGCCCAUCCA
RNAcentral lists this transfer RNA (78 nucleotides) under Pseudanabaena sp. FACHB-2040. Its description in RNAcentral is "tRNA-Val". It matches the Rfam family "tRNA". From Rfam's summary of the family: Transfer RNA (tRNA) molecules are approximately 80 nucleotides in length. The record is from RNAcentral. Lineage: Bacteria; Bacillati; Cyanobacteriota; Cyanophyceae; Pseudanabaenales; Pseudanabaenaceae.